CACACCCGUUCCCAUGCCGAACACGGAAGUUAAGCUCUUCAGCGCCGAUGGUAGUUGGGGGUCUCCCCCUGUGAGAGUAGGACGCCGCCAAGC
This 93-nucleotide ribosomal RNA is filed under the name Bacillus sonorensis. Lineage: Bacteria; Bacillati; Bacillota; Bacilli; Caryophanales; Bacillaceae. The record is from RNAcentral.